RNAcentral lists this long non-coding RNA (756 nucleotides) under Hordeum vulgare. RNAcentral describes it as "long non-coding RNA (HVUL_LNC009262)". The record is from RNAcentral. Lineage: Eukaryota; Viridiplantae; Streptophyta; Magnoliopsida; Poales; Poaceae.
CCAAUUAGGGUUAUGACCUAGGGUCAUUUUGGUCUUUGCACCUGAGUGGAUGGGAAUGCUUUACCCUCCAUCUAGCAGCCACCAUCUGAAGUGACGAAAAUUAGUUUAGCCUCCAUUGGAGAAGAAGAGAGAAAACCAAGUGAGAAAGGAAAGAAGAAAAAUAUUGAAGGAAGAAGCAAAGGGAGCUCCUCCCCAAGGUUGUGAUGAUCCAGAUCCACUACCUUGCCUCCUUCAAGCUGCAGUCCCACCAUCUUUGGUGAGAUUGUUUCAAUCCUUAGCUCUUGAUCCCCAAACCUUGUAGUGUUCAUCCAAGAUUCGGAAAUCUUGAUGUAUGAGAUCCUCUAGUCCUAUCUAGAGAAGAAACUUGUUGUAUCCCACAUUUGAUAAUAGUGGAAGAGGAUUUGGGUGUCUUCGGCCCGUGGUUUUCCUGUCUUCGACCCGUGGUUUUCCCCUCAAGUUGAGGGGUUUUCCACGUAAAAAUGGUGUGUCUCUUUUGUUGAUAUUUGUUGCUAUCCAGAAAGUUGCUCCUGCCACAAGACACUUGUCUGGGAAGCGUAUUGUCUGCUGAGUAACAUUUUCUCCUUCAUAUAUGCUUCCGCAUAUGUUUGCUUUUGUGUUAAGCAUCCUUGAGUUAGUACAUGAUGUGGCACUAAGAUUAAUUUGUUUCCGCUAUAGUUUUCAGUUAACCACAAGUGCAUUUGUGUGCUAAUUCCCAACAGUUAUCUAGAACAACAAUUUCACUGAAACAUAAAUUGG